CGAACGGGUGAGUAACACGUGGGUGACCUGCCUCGCACUUCGGGAUAAGCCUGGGAAACUGGGUCUAAUACCGGAUAUGACCAUGGAAUGCAUGUUUUGUGGUGGAAAGAUUUAUCGGUGCGAGAUGGGCCCGCGGCCUAUCAGCUUGUUGGUGGGGUAACGGCCUACCAAGGCGACGACGGGUAGCCGACCUGAGAGGGUGACCGGCCACACUGGGACUGAGACACGGCCCAGACUCCUACGGGAGGCAGCAGUGGGGAAUAUUGCACAAUGGGCGAAAGCCUGAUGCAGCGACGCCGCGUGAGGGAUGACGGCCUUCGGGUUGUAAACCUCUUUCGACAGGGACGAAGCGCAAGUGACGGUACCUGUAGAAGAAGCACCGGCCAACUACGUGCCAGCAGCCGCGGUAAUACGUAGGGUGCGAGCGUUGUCCGGAAUUACUGGGCGUAAAGAGCUUGUAGGCGGUUUGUCGCGUCUUCUGUGAAAACUUGGGGCUCAACCUUAAGCUUGCAGGCGAUACGGGCAGACUAGAGUACUUCAGGGGAGACUGGAAUUCCUGGUGUAGCGGUGAAAUGCGCAGAUAUCAGGAGGAACACCGGUGGCGAAGGCGGGUCUCUGGGAAGUAACUGACGCUGAGAAGCGAAAGCGUGGGUAGCGAACAGGAUUAGAUACCCUGGUAG
Molecule: ribosomal RNA, 680 nt
Filed under: Nocardia sp. I12A-02019
Lineage: Bacteria; Bacillati; Actinomycetota; Actinomycetes; Mycobacteriales; Nocardiaceae
Description: bacterial SSU rRNA
Rfam family: Bacterial small subunit ribosomal RNA
Source: RNAcentral